Molecule: ribosomal RNA, 450 nt
Filed under: uncultured bacterium
Lineage: Bacteria
Description: partial 16S ribosomal RNA
Rfam family: Bacterial small subunit ribosomal RNA
Source: RNAcentral
GUGGGGAAUUUUGGACAAUGGGCGCAAGCCUGAUCCAGCAAUGCCGCGUGCAGGAAGAAGGCCUUCGGGUUGUAAACUGCUUUUGUACGGAACGAAACGGUCCGGGUUAAUACCCUGGGCUAAUGACGGUACCGUAAGAAUAAGCACCGGCUAACUACGUGCCAGCAGCCGCGGUAAUACGUAGGGUGCAAGCGUUAAUCGGAAUUACUGGGCGUAAAGCGUGCGCAGGCGGUUUUGUAAGACAGGCGUGAAAUCCCCGGGCUCAACCUGGGAAUUGCGCUUGUGACUGCAAGGCUGGAGUGCGGCAGAGGGGGAUGGAAUUCCGCGUGUAGCAGUGAAAUGCGUAGAUAUGCGGAGGAACACCGAUGGCGAAGGCAAUCCCCUGGGCCUGCACUGACACUCAUGCACGAAAGCGUGGGGAGCAAACAGGAUUAGAAACCCCUGUAGUCC